This is a long non-coding RNA of Oncorhynchus tshawytscha (Chinook salmon), 3065 nucleotides long. RefSeq lists it as uncharacterized. The record is from RefSeq and is a predicted model, not a curated record. NCBI's taxonomy places the organism in Eukaryota, Metazoa, Chordata, Actinopteri, Salmoniformes, Salmonidae. The transcript is spliced from 2 exons.
UGGAGUUCGUUGACUGUUAGCCAUGACUUCCAAAACAAGUGGACGCGUUGUUGUGGAUGCGCUAUUGGUCGUUCCAAAUGUUUUCCAUCAUUAAUAGCGUUUCCUCAAACGCGUUGCACUUCUUUAUACAGUAAAUGUAAACCUUAUCCAUCUCCUCAACUAAUUGCACAAUGGCAUCUGGAAGCGGUAAGGAGGCUCCGAAAGAAGGGGACUUCAGGAUGCCUGGCCUUAGAGGAGCAAAUACCACCACGCUUUUCCGAUCUGUCAACCCUGAGUUAGGCCUAACUCACUGGUCACAAUUAUAUUACGGACAAUGAGUCUGCUUGUUCAUCGGUAUCGUCUGUUAUAUUGUCGAUGCAAAUUGUGUUUCCUUUACAGAACAAGCCAGUGAUGGCAUUUGGACUUGUGACAAUUUCCUUGUGUGUGGGCUACCUGGGAUACCUUCAUGCCACCAAAGAGAACGACCCGCAGCUGUAUGAAGUUAUUGACAGUGAAGGGGAGGAAAACGUCUAAAUGGGACUGAUCACAUCAGAUGUGCAAUAUAUCCUGAACAUUAUUGUGGUAAAAAUGGCUUUGCCUGAAAGCACUGGAUCUAUGUAAUGACGAUGGUUAUUAAAUAUUGUUACAAUUAGGCAAUAGCUCUUGGAUUCAUUUAUGAAACUAUUGAAAUAACAAUUUACCAUGGAGUAAGGGUAAGAAUGUAAAACUCAUAAAAGCAUAUUGAGCAAUUAGCAUCAAGCAAGGAGCUGAAUACCCAAGUCAUAGACGCGCUACUGAAAACUGACGAUAGUAUUGUAACGACCCUGGGUUUAUGAGCGCGGAUAUCGACUCUGCCGCAUGAGCAUGCUUUUGAGGCACGGUCGAUAGCGCACUGGACUUCGGGCUAGAAAGUCGAGGGUUCGAGACCUGCUCCCUGCUGUUUCAUUACAGUAUCUUCUGAAGGGGGGAGUUUUGUUAAGAGCCUCCGCAGACACUUCGCUUUAAACGUUAACACUCAUCUCUUGGGGUGCGGUAAUGGAAACAAGGAAUGUAUAUUUCAUAUUAGCAGCAUAAAAAAACAUUUAUAAACAAAAGUUUAAAUGACUACACACCUUUGUAGGUUUAGGGUUCCCACACGACCACAUUUCCAUGUUACAGGGCUUUUUUAAAACGGAAAACAAGAGUAGAAUACCUUGUUUAGAAGAACCUAGAAUACCUAAAUUAUAUUUAUGCGUCUCUUAGCACUGUAAACGGCAGAUGGACGCCACAAACGUGUUGUCACUGAAAAAUACGGUCGGCUGCAACUGUUGUUAUAACAGGUUAAAACAGUAUGCCGCAAGUGUGUAUUUUGCAUUUGUGGAAUUAUUUUGAUAUGAAAGUAGAGUACCGCAAUUGAGAAUCGAUUUAUGUUAGAUGGAGUUACUUUAGGCACCAUUAUUGGGCUUAGGAGCUGACCAGGGCGAAAACAUCCCCAGUAAUUGGAAUGUCUCUCAAUGAGCCACGUGCGUUCCAAAUAGCAUCACAAUUGAUUAUUAUUUUUCCUGGCACAUGCAUUUGGAGUCAUAAAUUCUUAGUUGUUUUCUUCAGCAAGGAAACCUUUUUAGUACUUCCAACAAAUCUCUGUAACUAGAUUUGAUUCAAGCAAGAUAUUCCACCCCAUGGGUUGAGUCAAAGCUACAAUAAUUACGUGCUUUGUGAGGUCCACUGUAAAAGCUAAAAUGGACACACUCAAAGAGCAAUGGAAACCCAACGUGGGAACCCUCAAAGCUUCACAGCAUCCUGCCACUCUAUCUAAAGGAGGUCAUAGAUGCACUGCAAGAAAGCGAGAGCCCACAAGCUGUGCUCUCACAGCUUUGUAUGGAGACCCAAUGAAAGAGCUGAAGCAGUUGAGUACUCACUCAAACAUCAUUGGUAUGCCCACUCCUCCUUUACUACAUCCACUCCAUGUAUCAAUGGUAGCAGCCUGUAACAGAUGUUUAAGUGACUGUGUCACAUUGAAUUGCAGAUAUAGGAGAAAACAUACACCAGUAUUACAUGACAGAGUUUCAAAAAGAGAAAGAGGAGUGUAUUAGAGCUGCUACUGAGAAGGCGUGGGGCAAGGUACAAAAAUGUGCUGCUUUUUGUUGUUGAACAUUGCGUUAGGUCUGGACUGCAAUACAUUGCAAGAAGUUUUGUUAAUGAUAUGUCUUGCUUUCAGGCUGACAUGGAAAUUGAGAAAAUAGUGUUACAGACACUUCAGUGGGCCAGAAAGGAGAGAGAGCUCUUGAGGAGGAAAGUGGAAAAUGCAAACUCUUACUUGCAGGGACUUCAUGCUGCAACCGGAGAAUGCGAAGACUGUGGCCAGCAAGAAAAAAGAUGAGGUACUGGUGGAAGUGAGGGCAGUGAUGAUAUCCAGCAUCACUGGCAACAUCGAGAGAACCCGAAGGGAGGAGAUGGAUAUUGCCCAACGCAACAUAGACAAGGCGGAGGGGCGGUACAGGGCAGAACUAACUACAUUGAAGGAGUCAACUCAAGCACUGGAGACUCUGCUGGACAAGACCAUCAGGGACCUCCGUACAGCUGUAGCCGAUAAGCAAGUAUAUAUGGAUGACCUGGAAGAAACAAGGGCAGCAUUUCAACAUUUCAUCAAUCAGCAGUUUAAAGAAUUGAAGCCUGAUCAAGCUGACUUUAUCCUACCAUCAAAGAAAUGUACAGGUUGAAUGACAAGUGAAUGAAUAGAAGCCCAGAAAAGCAUGCUCUCUUUGGCUCAUCACAAUUGGUCAACUGUAAUAAAUCUGAUUAUCCACAUGAUAUUUGUUUGUGUAAUAAUUGCAGUACUUUUGUCUGUUUGAUAUCUGAUCCUGUGAUUAUGCCAGGCAUCACAAGUACCUGUCAUAUAGGCAGGUCACAUGUUGAUUUCAACAACAAAACUUUGGUAGGUAAAAGUGAAUUUCAUAAUCUGUAAUGCCAGGAAUGAUUUACGUUCUCAUUAGGUUGAACUGUGUUCAUCUCUUUGAAAUAAUCUGUGCGUGCCAUUUAUUGUUCAAUGGUUUAUUUUAUUAGCAUUGCAUGAUCAUGAAUCUCAAAAUAAUAAAAUAUAAAUACAG